This 2242-nucleotide long non-coding RNA is filed under the name Sorghum bicolor (sorghum). Its description in RNAcentral is "long non-coding RNA (SBIC_LNC005151)". The record is from RNAcentral. Lineage: Eukaryota; Viridiplantae; Streptophyta; Magnoliopsida; Poales; Poaceae.
GUAGAUGAUGAUCAUGAUAUGCUUGAGUAGAUGAUAAUGCUCAUGUUAUGCAUGUGAUUAAUGCAACCAUAACACUGGGGUCUUACAGUUGGAAUCUAGGUACAUGUAAAGAAAAGAGCAACUAUUCAUCAUUUCCAAGACAAAAUUUAAAUGUUCAUCAUUUUUUAUUUGGUUCUAGUUUAGUCUGACCCUAAACAAACUCUAAUAUUUAACUAAUUUUAAACUCAUAGAAGACUCCAUGACUUGUGGACCUUCAUGUGCCCACAUAUUUUUGGUAUUUUUAUGACUAUAUACACUCGAUAAUCGUUUAGGUAUAAUUACCUGAUAACUAGGGGAUGCUCCUCCCCCAUGCUGGAUGUUUGCAAUACUUGGUGUUGAUGUCCUUCAGAGCGAGCUAGCCAGUAGAAAACCUUGUGGGUGCCACUGCUAGACUUUCUCCUUGUUAUGAUAUCCUUUCUGCAUAGUAGUACUCCAACAAGAAAACCAAAACUCAAGGCUUGUAUUUAAUAAUGGGUUAGCGGUCAGCCAAUGAGCGAGUGAUUAUUCUUAUGAGCUCAUUUUAAGCAGGAUUUCAUAUUUUUGAUUUAAGCAGGAUUUCAUAUUUCUAUUCUUUAUGAAUUUUCUAUUUCUGCUGCAGAAAUUAAAUAUGAAUACUAUUUAUUUUAUUUUUUUAUUUUUAUUUUUUAUGGCACCACAGUAAAUAUUCCUAAGGGACAACCAUAAGUUUAUUCACAUGGGGCUUUGGUAUUUAUGAUGCAGUAAUUUAUGGAGUAAAUAUUUGUUUGUAUUUUGUAUUUAUGCCAAGAGAAAUAAAUAUGCUACUAAAAGUAUUAAAGCAAAAUUACUAAUGCAUGUUAAUUACUACCAUUCUGACCUUAUGGCUAGGGUACGGAAUUUGCAGUCUACCGACAGGACUUGGAUUGUGGAGAGGACUUACUCAGUGGGUUCAUUGCCUGAGGUAACCUCAGUCAACUCCCCGUCUUCCUCCCAUCUUGCUUCUGUCUCUUUUGCUUCUUGUUUCUCUAGUUCCAACUCUUCAGUCCUAUUCUCUUUCUCCCAGGAUGCUAAUCAGGCUAAGAUCUCCUCUUUCUCUUUCUUGGCGAUCUGGUCCAUCCUUUCAGCUUCUUUGGCCCACUCACUCCAUCGGGGUGCUUGCGUGUUCUCUUCUUCGUCCAUGAGGUGAUCUUCAUACUUCACAAUCUUGCCAGGAAAGUCUUCCCAUCCACAGUGAGGCUGGGUAGCCUGACAUGGCUUGGCGUCUUCUCCUGUUGCAUUCCUUCCUAAUCUGCUCACAGUUAACUAAUGUUCUAAAUUGACAACAUACCUUUCCGGUGGGUAGGUUGAAGUGGAUAUGCCCUGAUCCGAUGUAGAUGUUGGCAUUAGUUGUGUAGAGGAACGGUCUUCCCAAGAGGAUUGGGAUCUCAUCGUCUCCCUGCAUGUCAAGCAUUGGAAAAUCUGUAGGUAUAUAAUGUUCUUGAAUUCUUACCAAUACAUCCUUGACCAUUCCUUCCAGGAAUCUUAAUGAUUGAUCCGCCAUCUGCAACUGAAUAUGUGUUGGGUAUAAAGGUAAAUCAAAUAAUUCAACGUAUACCUAUUUUGACAUUACGUUGUAGCCUGAUCCACACAGACGGUGUAAGGGAAGGUGGUGUUGUUGAUUGUGCAGUCAAUGAUUGGAACUCCUAGAUCAACUCUCUUGAUCGGACAUGUAACACUCUAGGUGUUUGUCACUUGCUAAGUACUAGGUUUGAGAUCAAACAUGAAAAGUUCAAUGUAAACAAAGAGGCCACAAUGAAUCUAUGAAAGUAAACCCCAACUUGGACUUGGAUGAUGCACCUUUGCUUACAUAUAGGCCCUUUUAUUAAAAGGUAUGCUUGGAUGAUGCUAGUGGAACAUUUUCCAUGUGUCUCAUAUCCAUCCCAAUCUAUGUUGGUCCUUGGAAAAGUUUGGUGAAGUUUGGAAUCAAGAAGUCACUGUUGGCGGUUCUUAAUGACAUAUUUACCCCACCAACAUAGUCCAUGCAAAGGAAGAAAAGCAUGUAUUUUACUCACAUAUACUUAGUAAAUGCUUACCAAGUUCCACAUGUAGUGCAAGUUGUGUUUUGCAAAUCAUAUACAGGCAUACAGGUGGAAAGCAAAUAAAAAGGCGCAAUCCGACACGUCAAAAAAUGUGCAAAUAAACAAGUACCCAAAAGCCCAAUAUAGAAGUGCAUCAAUUUGCAGGUGGAUCUGGACUCAGGGGCCCG